GGAAGGGUAGCGAAGAGGCUAAACGCGGCGGACUGUAAAUCCGCUCCUUCGGGUUCGGGGGUUCGAAUCCCUCNA
This 75-nucleotide transfer RNA is filed under the name Streptococcus pneumoniae. RNAcentral's name for it is "tRNA-Tyr(gta)". The stretch from base 8 to 73 matches the Rfam family "tRNA", at positions 8 to 63 of the family's 71-position model. From Rfam's summary of the family: Transfer RNA (tRNA) molecules are approximately 80 nucleotides in length. Their secondary structure includes four short double-helical elements and three loops (D, anti-codon, and T loops). Lineage: Bacteria; Bacillati; Bacillota; Bacilli; Lactobacillales; Streptococcaceae. The record is from RNAcentral.